RNAcentral lists this unclassified non-coding RNA (150 nucleotides) under Oryza sativa (Asian cultivated rice). RNAcentral describes it as "partial microRNA MIR468n-38 precursor". The record is from RNAcentral. Lineage: Eukaryota; Viridiplantae; Streptophyta; Magnoliopsida; Poales; Poaceae.
AUAUACUCCAUCCAUCUUAUAAUAUAAGGGGUUUUGGAGAGAUGUGACAUAUCCUAGUACUACGAAUGUGGACAGACUUAUUCGUAGUACUAGGAUAUGUCACAUCCCCUUCUAGGUUGAGUUUUUUUUAGAUGGAGGAAGUAAACUAUA